RNAcentral lists this ribosomal RNA (518 nucleotides) under uncultured marine eukaryote. Its description in RNAcentral is "partial 18S ribosomal RNA". It matches the Rfam family "Eukaryotic small subunit ribosomal RNA", at positions 614 to 1133 of the family's 1831-position model. The record is from RNAcentral.
UGCGGUUAAAAAGCUCGUAGUUGGAUCUCGGCAGGUAGGGGGCGGUUCGUUUCUGACGGCACUGCCCCAUUUACCUGUGUUUUUGCAAGAGGUCUCAAGGUGGCUUUAAUCGGCUGUCUUGGAACGCUUGCAGUUUUACUUUGAAAAAAUUAGAGUGCUCAAAGCAGGCUACAAAGCUUGAAUAUUUGUGCAUGGAAUAAUGGAAUAGGAAGUCGUUUCUAUUUUUUUGGUUUUCGGAAAUUGACUUAAUGAUUAAUAGGGACAGCCGGGGGCAUUAGUACUCAGACGACAGAGGUGAAAUUCUUGGACCGUUUGAGGACUAACUACUGCGAAAGCAUUUGCCAAGAGUGUUUUCAUUAAUCAAGAACGAAAGUUAGAGGUUCGAAGGCGAUCAGAUACCGCCCUAGUUCUAACCAUAAACAAUGCUGACUAGCGAUCCGUAGCUGUUUUCUAUGUAGGCUCUACGGGAAGCUUCCGGGAAACCAUAGUUUUUGAGUUCCGGGGGAAGUAUGGUUGCA